GAUGAAGAACGCAGCGAAAUGCGAUACGUAAUGUGAAUUGCAGAAUUCAGUGAAUCAUCGAGUCUUUGAACGCACAUUGGGCCCCCUGGUAUUCCGGGGGGCAUGCCUGUCCGAGCGUCAUUGCUGCCCUCAAGCACGGCUUGUGUGUUGGGCCUCCGUCCUCCUCCCGGGGGACGGGCCCGAAAGGCAGCGGCGGCACCGCGUCCGGUCCUCGAGCGUAUGGGGCUUCGUCACCCGCUCUUGUAGGCCCGGCCGGCGCUUGCCGACACAUCAAUCUUUUUUCCAGGUUGACCUCGGAUCAGGUAGGGAUACCCGCUGAACUUAAGCAUAUCAAUAAGCGGAGGA
This 345-nucleotide unclassified non-coding RNA is filed under the name soil metagenome. RNAcentral's name for it is "partial contains 5.8S ribosomal RNA, internal transcribed spacer 2, and large subunit ribosomal RNA". The stretch from base 1 to 120 matches the Rfam family "5.8S ribosomal RNA", at positions 35 to 154 of the family's 154-position model. The record is from RNAcentral.